AAAAAAAUGAUGUUUGAUAGCAGAUAACAUGAAUGCAUGAAAAAGAGAACUCAAAACCUUCAGGAUAUAGACUGACAUGGGAGUUGAAUGCUUGGAUAAUCCAAUUCCUAGACAUGUUUGAUUUAAACCUAUGAAUUCCAUGUGGAGCUGCUAUACCCUUGUUCUCUGCCUUUGAACUUUCUUUUGACCAAUGAGGCAUUGGCAUCUAAUACUGCGAGGUUGCCUUUUAUUUUGUUUCAUAGAGCAUAGUUGUUUCUUUGUUCUCCUCUUCUCCAUUGUCUUUUUAGACAAAAUUCAAAAAUGCCUUAGCUUAUAUGCCAGUAGAUAUUUUUUCCUCUUCAUGAGCUAUUCAUCAUAUUAUGUUCUUGCUUUAUGGAUUAAGGAAAUGUAGUUAAUAUGAUUAAAGUAGUAAAUUUGAUUUACUCCUUUCCUAAUAUGCCCUCUACUCAUAUUGCUCUAUUAAAAAUUAAAUAAUUCAUGUUACUAAAUUAUUCUUGGAACUGAUAUAUUUUACUUUUUAAUGCACAUUAAACAAGUGCAUAUUUGUAAGUUAAUAAAAAAAAUUACUUUUUCAAAAAGGGAAGCGGCCUAUAAUUUAGGAUAGAUAAAAAAGGAAAAGUGAGUCUAUCUUUGUGGGACAGAUGGAGUAUUAGACAUAAAAUGUCUUUAUGCAGCAGUUUCUCCAUCUUUCGAAUCAUUGAAUGACUACUGUCUAUUCACUCAAUUGGGAUUUUCUUGUUGGUUGUUUUUUUCCCCCAUAACUGGGGAAUAUGGCCUGGAUGAAGCUAGUCCAGCAGGGGUUUUCUCAUAACUGAACUCUUUGAAUUGAGACUCAAGUAUUUAGGAUUUUGCAUUUUUGUAAAACCAACCCCCAUGCCCUUCUUUUUUUCUUCCAAGUUUGUUUAGCUCUGUUAGAAGCUUUGCUGGUCCUGCUGACAUACCUGAAAUUUUUCAGGCACCUUUGGAAGAAACAUGGACUGCACUGUUUUCAAGUCUUAGAUAUGCUAAAAAUUUCAGUGGUCCGGUUUGUUUUCGCCAUGUUGUUCUUGCUCCUUUGGGAUAUGAGACUGCACUCUUUAAGGGACUAAGUGAAGAUAUAAAUUGUGAGGGAGCAUCAGCACGUGAUCUUUGGCAAAACCCUAAUGA
Molecule: unclassified non-coding RNA, 1146 nt
Filed under: Hevea brasiliensis (rubber tree)
Lineage: Eukaryota; Viridiplantae; Streptophyta; Magnoliopsida; Malpighiales; Euphorbiaceae
Source: RNAcentral